Molecule: long non-coding RNA, 235 nt
Organism: Papaver somniferum (opium poppy)
Lineage: Eukaryota; Viridiplantae; Streptophyta; Magnoliopsida; Ranunculales; Papaveraceae
Exons: 3
Source: RefSeq, a predicted model, not a curated record
UCGAAAUUUGCUUUAUUAUUGAUCAUGUCUCAUAAUUUGGUUUGUCCACUACCCUUGCUUUUCUGGCAUUGUCCAAGAAAUUGACUGUAGAUGAACUCUUUUAUCUGAAGGAGUAGUUUGCACUGUUAGAACAUAACUUUGGGGAAUAUCUGGACGGUGUGGAUGAAACAGGACAUGAUGUUGCACCAUAGAUGUUACUAAGUAUCUUGCCUACACCUUCAAGUAUGCAAUUUUG